GGACGGGUUAGUAACACGUGAGAUACAUACCCUUUAGACAGGAAUAGCCCAUGGAAACGUGGAAUAAUACCCUGAUAGUUCCUACGGGAUAAAGGAUGCCCUUCGGGUGUCGCUAAAGGAUUGGCUCGCGGCCUAUCAGUUUGUUGGUGAGGUAAAGGCUCACCAAGACUACGACGGGUAGCUGGUCUGAGAGGACGAUCAGCAACACUGGAACUGAGACACGGUCCAGACACCUACGGGUGGCAGCAGUCGAGAAUCAUUCACAAUGGAGGCAACUCUGAUGGUGCAACGCCGCGUGGAGGAUGACGGUCCUAGGAUUGUAAACUCCUGUCAUUGGGGAGUAAGACUUAUUCGUUAAUAGCGUGUAAGUUUGAUAGUACCCAAAGAGGAAGGGACGGCUAACUUCGUGCCAGCAGCCGCGGUAAUACGAAGGUCCCAAGCGUUGUUCGGAAUAACUGGGCGUAAAGCGUGUGUAGGCUGCGCGGAAAGUCAAAUGUGAAAGCCAGGGGCUCAACCUCUGAACUGCAUUCGAUACUCCCGUGCUAGAGUAAUGGAGAGGUAAGUGGAAUUCCCGGUGUAGCAGUGAAAUGCGUGGAUAUCGGGAGGAACAUCAAUGGCGAAGGCAACUUACUGGACAUUUACUGACGCUCAGACACGAAGGCUAGGGUAGCGAAAGGGAUUAGAUACCCCUGUAGUC
This 697-nucleotide ribosomal RNA is filed under the name uncultured bacterium. RNAcentral describes it as "bacterial SSU rRNA". It matches the Rfam family "Bacterial small subunit ribosomal RNA", at positions 100 to 795 of the family's 1533-position model. The record is from RNAcentral.